Molecule: long non-coding RNA, 361 nt
Organism: Oreochromis niloticus (Nile tilapia)
Lineage: Eukaryota; Metazoa; Chordata; Actinopteri; Cichliformes; Cichlidae
Exons: 2
Source: RefSeq, a predicted model, not a curated record
GCUCAUCAAGGCCACUUCUUCAGGCAAUGGCUGGCAGCCAGUCUUUUCAAGAAGGUUGACCUACAAUUCCUGGAUUCCCUUCCCUGGUGUGUUGUUGGAGCGAGCGUGUUAGUUGUGAAUUACUGGAUGUUUGGACUCCCUUCCUUCCUGGAGCAGUAGUCCCCCCUUUUGUGUUUUUGUAUUAAUAACCUCACUGUAAAUAAACUGAACUGAACAGGUGCAGUAGAGGGGCAACAAUGAGAAAACCCCCAAAACAGAAAUGGCUUUACAGGUGGAGGCCACCUGACAUUUCUGCCCUCCAUCUUUAAAGUGUCGAUACCAGCACUAGUAUAAGUAUAUCAGAGUAAUAUUAGAUGCUAGA